GAGCCGGGGAAGCGACGCGAAGACCCCCGUCCGGCGCAACCCGCUCGCGUGGACGCGGAAAGUGGCGGGCGGCGGGUCCCGGUGGUGCCUGCGUAGGGCAGAGUUGCCCCCUGGCGGCGGUGCGACGACCUGCGGGCCCUCGCGCCCGGGCCGGCAACUCCCUGGGAGCUCGGCCCGCGCGGGGAACUCGCCCAGCAGCCUGUGUUUCUCGAGUGUGGGCAGCCGGCUCCCGGGCGUCCCUCCCACCGGCUGCGGGGGCCCGGGACUGGGCGGUAGUGGAGGCAGGUCCUUGGACUGCAGGCUGAGGCUUUUUCCCCCCACGAGCGGUUUGGGCCCUCCAGGAGCCCCUGCGCGGGGGUCACGUGGAUUACGCUAGGUGAGAGCCGGAGAGGCUGCGCCACCGUCGGGAGGCUCCCUGCCUCCGCCCUUUGUCCUUUGCCCCUGACCAUGAGCGCCCCAAGCCCAGGGACCUCCUUAGGGGGAUGAAGGCUGGAAGAGACCUGGGGGCUCAGACUUACGGGGAAGGAACCUAGGCUAUUCCUUGUGCAUCCCAGGAUUUUACCCAUGAACGUGAACAUGAACGUGUUUUCAACCCCAGCGGUUCCCCUGGCGCCUCGACCCUCCUUUGAAGAGUCAUUCUAGAAGGCUGUAUUGCGAUAGUGUUUGUACCUGUCACUGUGAGCCCUGAAAAGAGACAGAAGAAAACGCGAGUGCCUGGCCUGAGGGUGCUCCGUCCCGUGGGUAGCCAGCCCUAGUGUCUGCUUCCAGAAAGCCUUCCCUGAUGACCUCACCUCCACCUGCUCUGAAUUCCGACUGCACCUCGUUCCACAGCAGUCAGCACCCAGUGUGGAAAUAUAUUAAUGAAACCGCCUUUACAAAAUUAUGACUGAGACAGUGAAAGAAAUCUAACUUAACCAACUCCAUCUUGCUUCUAACCCCCAAGCUAUCCUUGUUCAUUCCUAGGUGUAGGCUUAACUAACUUUGGGAGAAGUUAGUAAGGGUAAUAGCCCUUUCCCAAAGCAGUCCUCCUUCUUACCUGGGACUGGAUUGCCUUUGUAGGACUAACAUUAGCCACAAGAUUAGAAAUUAUGGUUUAGGAGUCAUGCAGCCGAAGGCUACAAGAUUCUGACCCUCCCUAAACUGCUCCAAAGAUCAGCGCUUGAGAUAUUUGGCAGACCCUGCACUUGAUGGAUCAGCUGGCCCCACACAGAUCAAUAAACUGGCUCAUCUGAUCUUGUGGCCUCCACCUAGGAACUGACUGAGCAAAAGAAGACAGCUCCAAUUCCAUAUGAUUCAUCUCUGACCAAUCAGCACUCCUGGCUCACUGGCUUCCUCUCACCCACCAAGUUAUCCUUAAAAACUCUGCUUCCCAAAUGCUUGGGGAAACUGAUUUAAGUAAUAAUAAAACUCUGGUCUCCCCGCCGGCUGGCUCUGUGUGAAUUACUCUUUUUCUAUUGCAAUUCCCCUGUCUUAAGGAAUUGGCUCUGUCUAGGCAGCAGGCAAGGUAAACCUCUUGGGCAGUUACAUUAAUACUUGCUCACCUACCUAUCUCCUCUGCUAAAGUGUGAUCUAUUUGAAGGCAGGCUCCAUGUCAUCUUCACCUCAGCAUUCUCAAAACCUAACCCAGUGAUACAGGAG
RNAcentral lists this long non-coding RNA (1638 nucleotides) under Homo sapiens (human). RNAcentral describes it as "HSALNT0089578". Lineage: Eukaryota; Metazoa; Chordata; Mammalia; Primates; Hominidae. The record is from RNAcentral.